GCGCAGAGGGUAGUGAGGGAAGGAGUGAGUACAGACACGCAAGGGAAAGAAGCACUGCUGAGAUGGGCCCAGCUUCAGAGCCAUAAAGGAGCUCUGUUCUGUAAGGACAAGGGCCAGAGCAAGAAUUGGAGCAUCAUGGAGCAGCAGUUUGGAAAGGACAUCAAAGGAGGGAGCAGGAUGGCUGGGGAAGAAAGGAAAUCUUCCAUCUGAGCAAAGUUUAG
This 221-nucleotide long non-coding RNA is filed under the name Zonotrichia albicollis (white-throated sparrow). RNAcentral describes it as "lncRNA (ENSZALG00000014464.1)". The record is from RNAcentral. Lineage: Eukaryota; Metazoa; Chordata; Aves; Passeriformes; Passerellidae.